GCCUGGGUGGCUCAGUUGGUAAGCGUCUGACUUCAGCUCAGGUCAUGAUCUCACGGUUCGUGAGUUCAAGCCUCACUUUGGACU
This 84-nucleotide transfer RNA is filed under the name Felis catus (domestic cat). It matches the Rfam family "tRNA". Rfam says of the family: Transfer RNA (tRNA) molecules are approximately 80 nucleotides in length. The record is from Rfam by way of RNAcentral. Lineage: Eukaryota; Metazoa; Chordata; Mammalia; Carnivora; Felidae.